GACGAACGCUGGCGGCGUGCUUAACACAUGCAAGUCGAACGGUGAUGCUCCAGCUUGCUGGAGUGGAUCAGUGGCGAACGGGUGAGUAACACGUGAGCAACCUGCCCCAGACUCUGGAAUAAGCGCUGGAAACGGCGUCUAAUACUGGAUACGAAACUGGCCCGCAUGGGCAUGGUUUGGAAAGUUUUUCGGUUUGGGAUGGGCUCGCGGCCUAUCAGCUUGUUGGUGAGGUAAUGGCUCACCAAGGCGACGACGGGUAGCCGGCCUGAGAGGGCGACCGGCCACACUGGGACUGAGACACGCCCAGACUCCUACGGGAGGCAGCAGUGGGGAAUAUUGCACAAUGGGCGAAAGCCUGAUGCAGCGACGCCGCGUGAGGGAUGACGGCCUUCGGGUUGUAAACCUCUUUCAGCAGGGAAGAAGCGAAAGUGACGGUACCUGCAGAAGAAGCACCGGCUAACUACGUG
This 467-nucleotide ribosomal RNA is filed under the name uncultured bacterium. RNAcentral's name for it is "partial 16S ribosomal RNA". It matches the Rfam family "Bacterial small subunit ribosomal RNA", at positions 28 to 507 of the family's 1533-position model. The record is from RNAcentral.